Globicephala melas (long-finned pilot whale) is the source of this 9214-nucleotide RNA transcript. It is a transcript of the gene named leucine rich repeat containing 66, with no coding region annotated. The record is from RefSeq and is a predicted model, not a curated record. NCBI's taxonomy places the organism in Eukaryota, Metazoa, Chordata, Mammalia, Artiodactyla, Delphinidae.
ACUUAGAAAGAAUCAGGUCAGUGAAAGUCUUACUUAAGUCCCCUUAAGAAGUUUUUUCCAACCACAUGUUUCUCUUCAGUAUUGUAGUGUGCCUAUGAAUGAUGAAUCUUUUUUUUGUUGCUGACGUUGUUACAUUAGCUUGCUGUAUAAUUACAUAUGUAAUGAUUGCAGCUUUGAAUAUGGUAACAAAUAUCUUUCUGACUCUACAAAUUAAUUGAAUUUCUGGUAUUGCAUAAGAGGCACACUUUAAAAAUAAAUCACUCCUCCGUGCUGUAGGGCACCUUUGCAGUUCAUAGCCACGUGUACCCGAACUUAGAUGCCCUUCAAAAUAUGGCAGAUUUGACCUUGUAUGAAACCAAAGUUUAAAAAGUUACAUGGUAAAUUGAAUUUCUGGUAUUGCACAAGAGGCACACUUUAAAAAUAAAUCUCUCCUCCAUGCUGUAGGGCACCUUUGCAGUUCAUAGCCACGUGUACCGGAACUUAGAUGCCUUUCAACAUAUGGCAGAUUUGACUUUGUAUGAAACCAAAGUUUAAAAAGUUACAUGGUAAAUUUCAUCCAUUGCAUGCAUUCAUUUAUCCAAGCAGAGCAUAACCCUAUGACAGACUGCAGACUAUUAAAAAUAUAAAACAUGGGGGAAAAUAUAUAGAUACAUAGAUGAGAUAAAUAGAUGAUACGUAGAUAAUACAGAUAUAGCCCUAUAUAUAGAUAUAUAGAUAGCAUAGUCCUAUGACAGACUAAAGACUAUUAAAAAUAUAAAACAUGGGGGGAAGUUAUAUAUAUAUGUAUGUAUGUAUGAAAACAUGGCCCUUACCAUCUGGGAGCUUAUAGUCUUUUGGGCUGUUUAAAACAGACACAAUGCAAAGCGAUAGCCAUAUAGGACAGUACUGAUAUUCUGUCAAACUGAAUGUUACUAGCAUGCAUUCAUUCAUUCAAUAAAUAUUUACUGAAAGAUUUCUGAACAAAAUAGAGGCCAAAGCAGGAAGAAGGGUCUUCAGGUCAUAGGGUUAGUGAUGGGUCUGGAAGGACAUAUGUAGGAUUUGGACUGAGGAGAGGAAAAGGCAUUGUGCUUGGAAUUGGAGUGAAGUAAAAGCUAAUUUUUGCAUGAGAUCUACAUAUAUACCGAGGUGCACAAGCCCCAUCUUGUAGUUGCUCCACAUGUACUUUUAAAACUAGUUCAUGAACUUAGGUAAAUAAUAGAAAGCCUGGGAUGCCAACCUGAGGGAUUUGGACUGUAGGCACUGCAGAGCCCUUUAAGGCUUCUCUGAAUGAGGAUAUGAUAUGGGAAAACAGUACUAUGGGGAAGUAACCCUUUGGAAUUUCAUUGGAUGAAGCAAGAAGGAAAAUUGAAAGGCAGUGACAGGAAAACCAGUUAAGCCCAUGCUAGUAUUGCAGAUUAGUGAUGAGAACUAGAAUGGUGCCAUUUGCCAUUGGAACAGAACGGAAGGGACAAUUUGCUGCAAACCUACGUGCCGAGUAAUGUGGUUAUUAGUACACACACUGAGUUUUUAAUGGAAUUUAGUAAUUAAAUCAUUAAAUUUAGUAAUUAAUUUAGUAAUUAAAUCACAAAAAAGUUAUUCAUCUACUCUUUUGUUGUUUUUUAUUGGAGUAUAAUUGCUUUACAGUGGUGUGUUCGUUUCUGCUUUAUAACAAAGUGAAUCAGUUAUACAUAUACAUAUGUUCCCACAUCUCUUCCCUCUUGCGUCUCCCUCCCUCCCACCCUCCCUAUCCCACCCCUCCUCAUCUACUCUUAAAAUUGUUUUUUGUGCAUACAUUCAGGCAUUGUGAUUUGUAGAUACUUGUUUUAAAGCUUUCAAUUGCUUCUCAAGAAUCUUUGGUGAGAAAGAUACUUGAGUUUCUGUAUCUAAUUAUAUCUUCAUGGGUCCUAGGGAGAGCAUCCUUUUUAUAACCGAUUUUUUUUUAACAUAGGUAUCUAAAUGGUUUCAAGUGGAUUUGAAAAGCCACAAAAGCCGCAAAGACAAAGCUUGUAGCUCUUCUAGUCAUUAAAAAAUAUCGAGUCUCUUUCAUGAGUUGAACUUUCCACCGAUACAGUUCCACGGUUUGGUGUAACGAUAUGGCUUGUCACUCAUGUGAUAAAGCACAUGGCUUAUUACCGUGCUGUAAAAUAAGGAUAAUAGACUUUGCUCGGUACUGAAGACCAGGAAGGAAGCAGAGAAGUUUUUCAUCUUGGUAGGUUUCCCUCAUUCCAAAGCAGACUGCAGGGUGAGUAAUCCUGGAAAAGCAGACACAGGUGAGGCCCAAGUGAGUACACAUUUUCUGACAAAUCAGGAGGGGUUCUUUCUUUAAAACUGUGGCAUAAAUGUAAUUUUACACUAUAGCUGUUUACCAUUUUGGUAGCUACAUUUUGUCCUACUGUCUAAGAAAUCAAACAUCCGUGUAACUUGGCAGUCAAGGCAAGAUAACUUUCCUGAAUCUUAAAUUGAAAAUUAAAAUUUCUGCUUAUUUGCUAUUAGUUUUUACAUAAGUUAUUUUGAAUAAGUCAAUUUUUCUUUCUCCAGGCAUUAUGAAAAACCUACGUCUCAGAGUCGUUACCAUGGUUAUAGGUCUUUAUUUUACUGACACAAUGACAAACCCAUCAAGAAAAAGCAGUAUUUUAUUCAAUUCCGAGUGCCAAUGGAACAGAUAUCUUCUGACAAAUUGUUCUUUUGCUGGAAAGCAUGAAAUACCUGUGGACAUAUCACAGAUAGCAGCCAUAGUGGACGUAAGUUCCAGUUUCUUUAGGGUUCUCUUACAAACUCACAUGAAAAAAGAAGAAUGGAAUAUAAGACACCUGGACCUCAGUAACAAUCUCAUAUCGAAAAUAACCUUAAGCUCUCUUGCACAUUUUCGUGCUUUGGAAAUAUUAAACCUCAGCAACAACGCCAUUCACUCCGUGUCAUUGGAUCUACUCAGUUUCAAGUCCUUGUGGGUGAAACGCCAGAGAGGCAGCUUGAGAAAUGGGCUUCCAUUUCUAAAGUUGCUCAUUCUUCAAAGAAAUAAACUCAGUGACAUUCCCAAGGGGCUGUGGAAACUGAAGUCAUUACAGAGUUUGGAUCUGUCAUUCAAUGGGAUAACGCAAAUUGGUUUGUCUGAUUUUCAUAACUGCCUGCAACUAGAAAGCCUCCAUUUAAAGAGCAACAAGAUAUUCAGAAUUCAUCCAGAAGCCUUCAAGGACCUAAAACAAUUACAGCAGGUUGUAGACCUCAGCAACAACGCUCUGACCGCCAUUCUGCCGAUGAUGAUCGUGGCUCUGGAACUUCCCCACCUGGAGGCUGACUUGGCUGUUAACCAGUGGCAGUGUGACUAUAGCGUGGAAGUCUUCCAAAAUGUUAUUUCUGAAUCCUGGAGAAAAAAGUGGAAUGCAAUUUGCAACAAGUCUGUUGGGAAGGAGGAGGCAUACUGGUGGACGCCCACAAGGCGCGUGUCCAGAGAGACCCACCUUCCUCGCACUAAUCUGAAUCAUACGAGAAGCCUCGCGACGAGCACAGCUGAGAGGCCCUGGGAAGUGCGCUUUUCCACUCUGCGCAAGAAGGACCCUGCGGGCUCUGACACCAGUGACAGGGAGAGGCGGCUGCCAGGAAGGGUUAGGAGCACCGGGGAUGUGCAAGCUGCUGGCAGAAGGGAGGACGCUUCCCAGGACCUGGUCCUGGCCGUCUGUCUGUCAGUGUCCAUCACGUUCUUCGUGGCUUUCUGCCUGGGGGCUUUUGCGCGGCCUUAUGUGGACAGACUGUGGCAACAGAGAUGCCGGAAAAAAAGUCCAGGUUCAGGGAACGUGUAUUCAAACCAGGGCUUCUACGAUGAGAUCAAAGCUGUAGGGAACAUGGAGCAGCCAAGGAUGGAUCUGCGCCAAACUUUCCACGAUCCAAACCUCUGUGAGAACCAAGCCCCACCCGCGGCUGUCACUCCUGCGAGAACGCUGGCGCCGAGCAGAAAGGAGGCUGGCGGCGGGCAGGGCGGAGCACGAUGCGGGGACCACACCGGGGCAGGAAGCGGGAAGGAUAACGCGCUUCCAAAUCACGGUGCGGCCCGGCCCGUUCUCCGCGGAUGGGCGAAUGCUGAUGACACCCAACUCAUGCCGGCGGGACAGGACAGCAUCUACAGGUAUGAUAUUCCUGGAGAAGUAAAUUAUGACACUGUGGCCGGGGAAGGUUCCCUCGGUGAGCGAUCAGUGGGCAUCCCUGCCGUGGCUGCCAGGUUACAGACAAGCCCUGGCUCAAUCUGUAAGGAUUCCAACGAAUUAGGCCCACCCAUCCCCAGGGAAAUGACCACGCCUCUCUCCCAAAUGGUGGCUCGUACGAAAGCUCUGAGGACUGGAGAGAAGGAGGGGAGAGGGGGCAGUCCACACUUCCCUUCGGAGUUUUCUAAGGACAAUGUGCUAAGCGCACAGCAGCAAAGGCUCGAGGGCGCCGGUGACGAGGAAGAGCCCCUUGCCCACUACGGAGUGGCCACGCUCAGUGACCCAGGAGCCACGGACCCGUCCCCACCCGUCUCCACUCCGGGGUGGGGUCAUGACCUGCAUGUGACUCCUGCUAGCAAGGAACUAGCACAAAAGGACACGUCUGACGCUCAGUACGAGCUGGACACAGAUUCUGACGAAGGGUCUUUAUUUACUCUAAGUUCAACAAGUUCAGAAGACUGGAGAAGUGUGGCUGAAGCAGAGGCACAUGGUGAGGAGAACUGCAGUGCCAACGAGCCCCUGGGGGAUGAGGACUCGGGGGAGAGGAGGGACAAUGUCGUGUCAUUAGAGAGUCUUGAGGACAGCAUCGCCUUCCAGAAGAUUCUGGGGCAAUGUGAGAAUCAGGAACAUCAUUCUGGAAAAACUCUCACUUCUGAUCCAGACUACGGUUUGGACGCGACUCAUCCGGAAAGUGGCUCUAACACCAAUAUAUUUGAGGAUCCGUUGACCUUGCCCAGGUCACCGGGCAACAGUCCUUGCAGUGAUGAGAUCCCAGGCAUGUCCAUUGACGACUAUGUCACAGCUCUUCAAUCCAAGGCAGCAGAGUGGCAAUGCUCGCUUAGAGACUUGGAGUUUUCAAAUGUAGAUGUUUUACCACAAACGCCAACAUGUUCUGCUGAAGUCCCCUCAGAUCCUGAUGAGAGUGCCUGUGGUGAAGGAGAUGCAGGCAUUUGUAAAUAUGAACCUUACGUUCAGGGCGUAGACACAGCUCAAAGCAAGAUUCCUUCCAAGAUCGCUGUGGGGAAAAACUUAAGACCCUCACGACAAGUUUCUGAAGAGGACAACAUGAAUGGGCACUGAUGAGGGGUUCGUGUGUCCUCGUGAGGACAGUGAUUCCAGAAAGGUUAUAAGCCAAACACAGUUAUUACACUCCUCUGGUGACGAACCAGAUCUUCAGUGUGAAAGGGGGUGGGGUGGUGGGAGGGGUAUUUUGAAGAUGGUGUCAAGAGCCAGGUACCACUAUUACAGAUGCUUCCAAAUGAAACCAGUUCACUAAGAACACGGGAGCACUUCAGUGACAGAGACUGGGUUCAACAUUCAGAGCCGAAUCAGUGAAUUUGAUUCUCUAAAUUCUUCCCUAUGUUUAGUUAAUUCUAAUAUAAAACUACCAUUCACAAGACAUAGAUCAUUUAGGUAGGAAAGCACUGAGAUAUUUGAACAUCAAAGGUUCCAAUUAAUAAAUUUUACAUUAAAACUUAACAGUGAUGAUGUUGCAGUUAGGAAAAGAUGAUUCUAAUUUUUAUACUCAAAUGCAGACCCAGAGAAACCUGAUGGUUGUUGGCCGUCUAUAAGCAUGUUCAAGUCCCUUCAACAUUCACAUUGAAGAACGGAAACACCACCCUGCUGCUCCCUCAGAAUACCACCUUCUUUUCUCCUUUAUAGCUAGGCUUCUCCAAGGAAUAGUCAGCAACUGUCUGUUGACACACCAGCACACCGUGGUCAGGUUUCAGCUCACCGUUCCUUUAACCCAUGCCAGUAGAGGUCACCAACAACCUCCCAUGGGACAUGCAUGGACUCUUCGGUCUCAUCAGCUUUGUUAUUCUCUCCUUUCUAAUAGCUGGCGUAGGUAACUGACUGAUCUGACUUUGGGAAAGCACUGUUCCAGUUUGGAGCCGUUUCCCGGUGAAUAACGGAUCAGAGCUGGCCGAGUCCACCAUUGAUUCCAACCUUGUGCUGUAGAGGAGAAAACUGAAGCACAGAUUCGUAAAUUGAUGUGCCCAAGGUCACCCAGCUAGUCCUUGUUUCCAACCAGAAUUCACUUUGGAUGUCCCGCACCAUUGAGGACAAUCCUUAUCCUUGCCUCCCCCGCUGGCUGGGUUGCUUGACCGGGGGCUCUGCCACCCAGAAGAUUUAGAAAACAUUCUUUUCAGGAUGUCACAACAUCUUCCAGACGCUCCUUCCCAAGAAGACCGGCCGCCUGCUGCAGCAGACGCCACGCCUGUUGUCCUCGCUGCUCCGGGCACGGGGACAUGGGGUGGCACCCAGCAGCUGGGUGUAGCCCUGGGCUUUCCACAGUUCCAGCCCCGAACUUCACCUUCCUACGUUCUGCAGAUGAGCAGACGAGGGUCAAGGCUUCCUCGUCCCCCCCGUUCCAUCGCUCCCUCCGGAUCCAGGGGAGCCGUGCGGUUCUCCCUCUCUGGAUGGUUCUCCCUCCGGAUGGUUCCCUUCUCGCCCCGCUCCUUCCCUCAGGUGGGCUGGGCGCACUCAGCUUUGGGGCAACCGGGACACUCUACAACCCCAAAAGCGGUAAAAUCUAAAACAGCCCUAGGUUGCUAAACCGCUCCCCACCCUCCUUUUUGGGUUUUUUUUUAAACUCAAGCAGUUGAGUGUGUUUGUGUGUUCUGGAGUUAUUCCUGCUACAGACAGCCGCGACCCGGCUGGCAGAGGCCUUCUGCUCUGAGAGCAGCCUCCCUGCCUGCUGCCAGCCCCAGGCGUGGCUGCCCACGCGGCCUCGCUCCCGGCACGGAGGGACCCGGUGCCGCAGGACAUCUUGACGUGAGAUCAACUCACCACUCAGCGCCUCGCUUACAGAGGGAGCACGUCCGCCCGCAGAGCUGGCUGGGACUGUGAUUUUUUUUUUAUUCUCCUUUUUAAAAUUGAAGUAAAGUUGAUUUACAACGUUGUGCUAAUUUCUGCUGUACAGAAAAGUGACUCACUUAUACACACACAUAUAUAUAUUCUUUUCCAAUAUUCUUUUCCAUUGUGGUUUAUCCCAGGAGAUUGGAUAUAGUUCCCUGGCUCUACAGUAGGACCUUGUGUAAAUAGUUUAUGUCCACUAAUCCCAAACUCCCCAGUCCAUCCCUCUCCCUCCCCAAUGCCCCUUGGCAAUCACAAGUCUGUUCUCUAUGUCUGUGAGUCUGUUUCUGAUUUGUAGAUAGGUUCACUUGUGCCAUAUUUUAGAUUCCACAUAUAAGUGAUGUCAUAUGAUAUUUGUCUUUCUCUUUAAUUAGGGCUGCCAUGUUUAGCAAAUAAAAAUACAGAACGCCCAGCUGAGUUUGCCUUUCAAGUAUAAAACAAAUACUCUCUUCCUAUGUAGGUGUGUCUCAUGCAAUAUUUGGGACUUAUUUUACUAAAAUAUUCUUCGUUGUUUAGCUGAAAUUCAGAUCCAACCGGGUGACCUGUGUUUUACCUGGCAACCCUAGUUUAACAUUCAAAUAAAAAGGAGCUGAAAUACCUUCCACGCAAGGUCCUGAGAGAGUCUGCAACUCCAGCAAGGGUGUGAGACAGUGAACAUUACGUUUGCUGCCUCCAAGGCAGUGAUCAGAUGUCUGGUAUGUCCUGCAUGAGGCAUUUAAGCACACGCCACGCAUGCCAGCAAAAGUGUCUCGUCAAAGCCUAGACAAUGAUUUACAAGCAGUAAAAAUGGAAAUUCACUCACACCCAAAUCCAGGGAGCAGAAAACCUAGAACAAGUCCUGCCCGCUGUUGCCAAGGCUGGGGGGUGGGGGGAAACCGUGAUAAAACCAAAUAGAUGCAAAAGCAUUUCCUUGCACAGAAGCAAAGAGUUACUUGUAGGGAGAGUGGGUUAUGUAAAAGCUUGCAGUUUCCGUAGGAGAAGCUCCUAAGAUCCUUCCGUUCGGUAAAUCCUACCAACAGCGGUAGGUCACAGCGCGCACGUAACUCCACCAACUCCCCGACCUCAUGGCUUCAAAAUGUACCAGCUUUUACUUUGGCUGACUCAGCAGCCUGGGAUGAAUUACUUUCCGUUAACUCGGUGGCACAUUUUUAAACCCCUAAGUAUUUAUGGCAGGCCGACUUUGGCUCGCUAAAUUGUACACGAAUAGGCACGGAAACGCGCUUGGAUUUACCCCUCCAUUCAGCGUAAAGCCUCUCGUGUGCAAAAUGCAGUAAGGGCCACCGGGUGAGGAUGGGGUGCGGCGUAUGAGGGAGGAUGGGGGCCGGGGCUGGACCCACAGCGACGCCGUCCUGCCCUCAGACCGCUUAGAAUUCAGAGGGCAAGACUCAGGAAGACAAGCUUCCUUCACCAGCAGUACAAACGCCUGCCACGAGGGUGGGAGGGUGACGCAUGAGGAAGGAGAUGUGGGGAUAUAUGUAUAUGUAUAGCUGAUUCACUUUGUUAUAAAGCAGAAACUAACACACCAUUGUAAAGCAAUUAUACUCCAAUAAAGACGUUAAAAAAAAAAAAAUUCGCCUGCCACUACAGGGGACACAGCUUUGAGCGCUGGUCUGGGAAGAUCCCACAUGCCGCAGAGCAACUAAGCCCCGUGCACCACAACUGCUGAGCCUGCGCUCUAGAGCCCACGAGCCACAACUACUGAAGCCCACGUGCCUGGAGCCCGUGCUGUGCAACAAGAGAAGCCACUGCAAUGAGAAGCCUGCGCACUUGAACAAAGAGUUGCCCCCGCUCCUCCGCAACUAGAGAAAGGCCACGCAGCAAUGAAGACCCAACGCCACCAAAAAUAAAUAAAUAAAUUUAUAAAAGAAAAUAAAAAUAAAGUAGCACAUCCCACCCAAAGCAUUCUUUAUCACAUUCAUACCUCCUAAAAUUAUCUAUAAAAAUAUUGUUUAUUUAAAUACUUCCUUGUGUUAUUGCCUAUAUUCCCAGUAAGAGCAAAAAUUGGAUUUGUUUUGGUCACUAGAGCAUUCCCUGGGCUGGGGACAGUGCCUGGCACAGAGUAAGUGUUCUACAAACAUUUUUUUUUAAUUGGGGUAUGGUUGUUGUGUUAGUUUGUGUUAGUUUCUACUGUACAGUGAAGUGGAGUACCUUAUGCUACACAGCAGGUUCUCAUUAGUUAUCUA